RNAcentral lists this long non-coding RNA (450 nucleotides) under Homo sapiens (human). RNAcentral's name for it is "HSALNT0183798". Lineage: Eukaryota; Metazoa; Chordata; Mammalia; Primates; Hominidae. The record is from RNAcentral.
AAGCAUAAUGUGCAGACAGGGCCUGCUGAGGAAGAGGACGCAGGAGGGUGGACGUGUUUGUGCACGCGUGCACCUGAGCCUAACAGGUGAGUCUGUAAAGGCAGCUUGGGACCAGCUGAGACUGAGGGUGGACUUCAGGCUCUCCUAGGAACACAGCGAUUGAGGUGUCUUGAAGCAGGGCAGUAAAUUUACCAGCUUCUUGAUGAAACAUAACUCCAGUGAUGCAGGGAUGAUACUGCUAAUAAAUGACAGUGGCUGCUAACAUCUCUUGAGCACUGCCCUUGCAGCCAGCACGAUGCUAAGCACUCAACGUGGAUAACCUCAUGUAGUCCUGGCAGCCCCCCAAUGAGGUAGCUAUGUUUUUAUACCCACUUAAGAGAUGAAGAAACCUGAGGGUCUCAGAGCAGCUCACACAGCUGGUGAGACACUGAGCCAGAAUUCACACCCAAG